Molecule: long non-coding RNA, 1185 nt
Filed under: Ornithorhynchus anatinus (platypus)
Lineage: Eukaryota; Metazoa; Chordata; Mammalia; Monotremata; Ornithorhynchidae
Description: lncRNA (ENSOANG00000038943.1)
Source: RNAcentral
UUGCCUCUUCUCUCCCUUGCCCAUCCUCCCUUGCCCCUCUUUUCCCUUGCCUCUUUUCCCUUGCCCCUUCUCUCUUGCCCUUUCUCUCUCUUGCCCCUCCUCUCCCUUGCCCCCUCUCUCCCUUGCCCCUCUUUUCCCUUACCCCUCAUUUCCCUUGCCCCUUCUCUCCCUUGCCCUUCCUCUCCCUUGCCCCCUCUCUUCCUUGCCCUUCUCUCUCUUGCCCCUCCUCUUCCUUGCCCUUCUCUCCCCUGCCCCUUCUUUCACUUGUCCCUUCUCUCUCUUGCCCUUCUCUCCCUUUCCCCUCUCUCCCUUGCCCCUCUUUUCCCUUACCCCUUCUCUCCCUUGAUCUUCCUUUCCCUUACUCCUCCUUUUCCUUGCCCUUUCUCUCUCUUGCACUUCUCUCCCUUGCCCCUCUUCUCCCUUGCCUCUUUUCUCCCUUGCCCCUCUUUUCCCUUACCCCACAUUUCCCUUGCCCCUUCUCUCCCUUGCCCGUCCUCUCCCUUGCCCUCUCUCCCUUGCCCCUUCUCUCCCUUGCCCUUCUCUUCCUUGCCCCUUCUCUCCCUUGCCCCUCCUUUCCCUUACCCCUCCUUUCCCUUAUCCUUUCUCUGUUUUACAUUUCUCUCCCUUGCCCCUCUUCUCCCUUGCCCCUUUUCUCCCUUGCCCUUCUCUCCCUUACCCCUCUUUUCCCUUACCCCUCAUUUCCCUUGCCCCUUCUCUCUCUUGCCCCUCAUCUCCCUUGCCCCUUCUCUCCCUUGCCCCUCUUCUCCCUUGCCCCUCUUCUCCCUUGCCCCUCUUCUCCCUUGCCCUCUUCUUCCUUGCCUCUCUCUUCCCUUGCCCCCUCCUCUCCCUUGCCCCUCCUCUCCCUUGCCCCUCCUCUCCCUUGCCCCUCUCUUCCCUUGCCCUCCUCUCCCUUGCCCCCUCCUCUCCCUUGCCCCUCCUCUGCCUUGCCCCCUCCUCUCCCUUGCCCCUCCUCUGCCUUGCCCCCUCUCUCCCUUGCCCCCUCCCCUGCCCCCUCCCCGGCGCGCUCCCCGCUCAUGGAGAGGAAGGAGGGCGGGGAGCGCGCCUCGGAGGAGGAGGAGGAGGAGGAGGAGGAGGAGGAGGAGGAGGAGGAGGAGGAGGAGGACGGGCUUGAGUUACACAACCGGUCGGGGCAGAUUGCGCUGCAAAUGUGAGUUUCACAAGUAA